This 492-nucleotide ribosomal RNA is filed under the name uncultured bacterium. RNAcentral's name for it is "partial 16S ribosomal RNA". It matches the Rfam family "Bacterial small subunit ribosomal RNA", at positions 29 to 507 of the family's 1533-position model. The record is from RNAcentral.
AGUGAACGCUGGCGGUAGGCCUAACACAUGCAAGUCGAACGGCAGCACAGUAAGAGCUUGCUCUUACGGGUGGCGAGUGGCGGACGGGUGAGGAAUACAUCGGAAUCUACUUUUUCGUGGGGGAUAACGUAGGGAAACUUACGCUAAUACCGCAUACGACCUACGGGUGAAAGCAGGGGAUCUUCGGACCUUGCGCGAUUAAAUGAGCCGAUGUCGGAUUAGCUAGUUGGCGGGGUAAAGGCCCACCAAGGCGACGAUCCGUAGCUGGUCUGAGAGGAUGAUCAGCCACACUGGAACUGAGACACGGUCCAGACUCCUACGGGAGGCAGCAGUGGGGAAUAUUGGACAAAGGGCGCAAGCCUGAUCCAGCCAUACCGCGUGGGUGAAGAAGGCCUUCGGGUUGUAAAGCCCCUUUGUUGGGAAAGAAAAGCAGCAGGUUAAUACCCCGCUGUUCUGACGGUACCCAAAGAAUAAGCACCGGCUAACUUCGUG